This 444-nucleotide non-coding RNA is filed under the name Thalassospira alkalitolerans. Its description in RNAcentral is "bacterial SSU rRNA". It matches the Rfam family "Bacterial small subunit ribosomal RNA", at positions 944 to 1388 of the family's 1533-position model. The record is from RNAcentral. Lineage: Bacteria; Pseudomonadati; Pseudomonadota; Alphaproteobacteria; Rhodospirillales; Thalassospiraceae.
GUUUAAUUCGAUGCAACGCGAAGAACCUUACCUACUCUUGACAUCCAGAGAACUUUCCAGAGAUGGAUUGGUGCCUUCGGGAACUCUGAGACAGGUGCUGCAUGGCUGUCGUCAGCUCGUGUUGUGAAAUGUUGGGUUAAGUCCCGCAACGAGCGCAACCCUUAUCCUUUGUUGCCAGCGGUUCGGCCGGGAACUCAAAGGAGACUGCCAGUGAUAAACUGGAGGAAGGUGGGGAUGACGUCAAGUCAUCAUGGCCCUUACGAGUAGGGCUACACACGUGCUACAAUGGCGUAUACAAAGAGAAGCGACCUCGCGAGAGCAAGCGGACCUCAUAAAGUACGUCGUAGUCCGGAUUGGAGUCUGCAACUCGACUCCAUGAAGUCGGAAUCGCUAGUAAUCGUAGAUCAGAAUGCUACGGUGAAUACGUUCCCGGGCCUUGUACAC